Molecule: non-coding RNA, 76 nt
Filed under: Actinomycetota bacterium
Lineage: Bacteria; Bacillati; Actinomycetota
Description: Actinobacteria bacterium c-di-GMP sequence
Rfam family: c-di-GMP-I-GGC riboswitch aptamer
Source: RNAcentral
AACGAAAAAGGCAAACCCGUCGUGAGGCGGGGACGCAAAGCCACGGGGCUCUUAAGAGUCGGCCGGGUUGCCGUAC